This 323-nucleotide ribosomal RNA is filed under the name uncultured Acidobacteriota bacterium. RNAcentral's name for it is "bacterial SSU rRNA". It matches the Rfam family "Bacterial small subunit ribosomal RNA", at positions 21 to 358 of the family's 1533-position model. The record is from RNAcentral. Lineage: Bacteria; Pseudomonadati; Acidobacteriota.
GGCUCAGAACGAACGCUGGCGGCGUGCCUAACACAUGCAAGUCGAGCGAGAAAGUGGAGCAAUCCAUGAGUACAGCGGCGCACGGGUGAGUAACACGUGACUAACCUACCCUCGAGUGGGGAAUAACUUCGGGAAACCGAGGCUAAUACCGCAUAACACCUACGGGUCAAAGGAGUAAUCCGCUUGAGGAGGGGGUCGCGGCCGAUUAGUUAGUUGGCAGGGUAAUGGCCUACCAAGACGAUGAUCGGUAUCCGGCCUGAGAGGGCGCACGGACACACUGGAACUGAAACACGGUCCAGAAUCCUACGGGAGGCAGCAGUGGG